UGGGACAACUAGUUCGGACGACCGAGGAGGAAGAGCAUAAAUCAAAACACUUUCCAUUUUUGUCCAAAGAGAAUCUCUACCUCUCUCCCUGUUGCAAGCCAAGUAGAACAGAAUAGAAGAUGCACAGGUCGUCAAGCACUUCUCGAGUCUCCUCGGAGUUGUUCUCAUCGCAAUCGCAAUCGCAAACUUAUUCUGCUUCUUCCUCAGACAAUGAUCAACAAGAAGAACAAGAACAAGAACUACUACUACCCACAUACGACCCCCUCUCCCACGUUGCCAAGAAACAACUCUCUCGUCUCAGAUCCGCCCAGUCCGCCGUUCACCUCAUCCCUCUCGUUCUCCUCCUCUGCGCCAUCAUCCUCUGGUUCUUCUCCACCCCUGAGUUGAGGUCUUGAAGAUUGACAACAAUGUCAUGGUGAGAUCAACUUCCUCCCAAACUUGGAGUUUGACUUCGACUACUCAACUAAACAAGUUUUACAUGACUAGUCCACAACAUUACUUGACAAGAGUACUAAGGUCAUUCAUAGAUGUAAAAGUGCUAUGUUUGCCAUUUUAUAUGAACAAAAAGAUAUAAAUAAAAGGUUGUACUGUAUUACCAGUGUACAAAGCUCCCACUUUUGUGGGGUUUGGGAGGGGUCAUUAUUUUCAAUAAAGUUUCACUGGUUUUUGUGCA
Molecule: long non-coding RNA, 673 nt
Organism: Quercus lobata
Lineage: Eukaryota; Viridiplantae; Streptophyta; Magnoliopsida; Fagales; Fagaceae
Exons: 2
Source: RefSeq, a predicted model, not a curated record